Molecule: RNase P RNA, 464 nt
Filed under: SAR202 cluster bacterium Casp-Chloro-G3
Lineage: Bacteria; Bacillati; Chloroflexota; Dehalococcoidia
Also listed under: 1 other name
Description: RNase P RNA component class A
Rfam family: Bacterial RNase P class A
About the family: Ribonuclease P (RNase P) is a ubiquitous endoribonuclease, found in archaea, bacteria and eukarya as well as chloroplasts and mitochondria. Its best characterised activity is the generation of mature 5'-ends of tRNAs by cleaving the 5'-leader elements of precursor-tRNAs. Cellular RNase Ps are ribonucleoproteins.
Source: RNAcentral
CAGGUAGACCGGGUGACCGCCGUUCCGACUCGUUCGGGAGGGAGGAAAGUCCGGGCUCCACUGGACGGGGUGCUGGGUAACGCCCAGGAUUCUGCAGCAAUGCGGAAGACGGAAAGUGGCACAGAAACAUACCGCCAUCGAGUUCACCAGUGAAGACGUGGGGAGUAAACUGAGAUGGGCGUGAAGUCGAUGGUAAGGGCGAAAUCGGACGGUAAGAGCGUCCGGUCGUUUGCGGUGACGCAGCGACGGCCAAACCCCACCUGGAGCAAGGCCGAAUAGGGGGACAAUGGGUGUCCGGCCCGUCCCCGGGUUGGCUGCUUGACCCCGAUGGCAACAUCGUACCAUCCCGAUUUAUCGGCGUGGUUUCUGACGGUUUCGCCGCCAGAGGGCUAGACAGAUGGUCACCACCCCGGCAUCUGCAAAGUGUCGGGUGACAAAACCCGGCUUACAGGUCUGCUUGGCCC